ACUCCUACGGGAGGCAGCAGUGGGGAAUAUUGGACAAUGGAACGGCACCUCGAUCCAGCCAUGCCGCGUGAGUGAAGAAGGCCCUAGGGUCGUAAAGCUCUUUCAACUGUGAAGAUAAUGACGGUAGCAGUAGAAGAAACCCCGGCUAACUCCGUGCCAGCAGCCGCGGUAAUACGGAGGGGGUUAGCGUUGUUCGGAAUUACUGGGCGUAAAGCGCACGUAGGCGGACUAUUAAGUUAGAGGUGAAAUCCCAGGGCUCAACCCUGGAACUGCCUUUAAUACUGGUAGUCUUGAGUUCGAGAGAGGUGAGUGGAAUUCCGAGUGUAGAGGUGAAAUUCGUAGAUAUUCGGAGGAACACCAGUGGCGAAGGCGGCUCACUGGCUCGAUACUGACGCUGAGGUGCGAAAGUGUGGGGAGCAAACAGGAUUAGAUACCCUGGUAGCUACGAG
This 449-nucleotide ribosomal RNA is filed under the name uncultured bacterium. RNAcentral describes it as "bacterial SSU rRNA". It matches the Rfam family "Bacterial small subunit ribosomal RNA", at positions 335 to 801 of the family's 1533-position model. The record is from RNAcentral.